GUGCCAGCAGCCGCGGUAAUACGUAGGGUGCGAGCGUUAAUCGGAAUUACUGGGCGUAAAGCGUGCGCAGGCGGUGAUGUAAGACAGAUGUGAAAUCCCCGGGCUCAACCUGGGAACUGCAUUUGUGACUGCAUCGCUGGAGUGCGGCAGAGGGGGAUGGAAUUCCGCGUGUAGCAGUGAAAUGCGUAGAUAUGCGGAGGAACACCGAUGGCGAAGGCAAUCCCCUGGGCCUGCACUGACGCUCAUGCACGAAAGCGUGGGGAGCAAACAGGAUUAGAUACCCUGGUAGUCCACGCCCUAAACGAUGUCAACUGGUUGUUGGGAAUUAGUUUCUCAGUAACGAAGCUAACGCGUGAAGUUGACCGCCUGGGGAGUACGGCCGCAAGGUUGAAACUCAAAGGAUUGACGGGACCCGCACAAGCGGUGGAUGAU
This 432-nucleotide ribosomal RNA is filed under the name uncultured Xenophilus sp. RNAcentral describes it as "bacterial SSU rRNA". It matches the Rfam family "Bacterial small subunit ribosomal RNA", at positions 505 to 940 of the family's 1533-position model. Lineage: Bacteria; Pseudomonadati; Pseudomonadota; Betaproteobacteria; Burkholderiales; Comamonadaceae. The record is from RNAcentral.